Molecule: ribosomal RNA, 498 nt
Filed under: uncultured bacterium
Lineage: Bacteria
Description: bacterial SSU rRNA
Rfam family: Bacterial small subunit ribosomal RNA
Source: RNAcentral
ACUCAAAGGAAUUGACGGGGGCCCGCACAAGCAGUGGAGUAUGUGGUUUAAUUCGACGCAACGCGAAGAACCUUACCAGGGCUUGACAUAUACAUGAAAGUCUAAGAGAUUAGACCCCUCUUCGGAGCGUGUAUACAGGUGGUGCAUGGUUGUCGUCAGCUCGUGUCGUGAGAUGUUGGGUUAAGUCCCGCAACGAGCGCAACCCCUGUUCUUAGUUACCAGCGAGUUAAGUCGGGAACUCUAAGAAGACUGCCGGUGAUAAAUCGGAGGAAGGUGGGGACGACGUCAAAUCAUCAUGCCCUUUAUGUCCUGGGCUACACACGUACUACAAUGGCUGUAACAAAGGGAAGCUAAGCCGCGAGGUGGAGCAAAACCCAAAAAAGCAGUCUCAGUUCGGAUUGAAGGCUGAAAUUCGCCUUCAUGAAGCCGGAAUUGCUAGUAAUGGCAGGUCAGCAUACUGCCGUGAAUACGUUCCCGGGCCUUGUACACACCGCCCGU